AUAGAAUUCUACGUAGAUACGUCAUCGUUUUCAUUUCUCCGUAAACACCAAUAAGUUCACCAAAAAAAUCUCUCUCUGAAAAAUACACCAAAAAAAAUCAAAAAUCAGAAAAAUCCCAUUUUAAUUCUUCAAUAAAAAAAGGCGUCAUGUCUUCCACCACCGGCGGCGUCGCGCAACUCUACUUCUGCUACAAGUGCAACCGAACGGUAACAAUAACUCCACCAGCCACCGCUCUCUCAUGCCCUAACUGUCACGAAGGUUUCCUCGAAGAACUCGAUUCUCCAAACCCUAGCCCUAACCCUUUAGAUGGUGGUCUCGGCCCCGCCCUCUUACUCGACGACUUCGCCUCCAUUUUUGGUGGCAUGAACCCCACUCCUCGAUCAUCGACCACGUCAACAACAACAACAAACUCCUCCUCUGCGUCGCCACUAUUUCAAGAUCCCGACGGUUUCAAUCCUUUCGUGUUCCUGCAAAAUUACCUGCAAACCAUGAGGGCCGGCGGAGCGAAUAUUCAGUUUGUGAUUGAAAAUAAUCCUGGUAUGGGCGGAAUGGACCCCACCGGAUUUCGUGUUCCGGCGAAUCUCGGAGAUUACUUCAUCGGACCAGGGUUAGAACAACUAAUUCAACAGCUUGCGGAGAAUGAUCCUAAUAGGUAUGGAACUCCGCCGGCCGCGAAAUCUGCGGUUGAAAAUCUUCCUGAUGUCAAGGUAACAGAGGAAUUAAUGCAAUCGGAUUCUUCACAGUGUGCAGUUUGUAAGGAUAGUUUUGAGCCAGGGGAGGUAGCUAAACAAAUUCCUUGUAAGCAUAUCUAUCAUAAGGAUUGUAUCACGCCUUGGCUUGAAUUGCAUAAUUCGUGUCCGGUUUGUAGAUAUGAGUUGCCUACCGAUGAUCAGGAUUACGAGCAGAGGAAAGGGGAUGGGAGUAAUGGGGUUAAUCAAAAUGUGGGUGGUGGAAUUAGCAGUGGUGGGUCGUUUAGUGACGGUGAUAAUAGCGAUGGAAAUGCUCAGACACCGAGAGAGAGGAGGUUUAGGAUUCCAUUUCCAUGGCUGUUUAGUAGUGGUAGUGGUAGGUCGGCUGGGUCGUCGGCAGAGGCCAGCAAUAGCCGGAGUGGGGACAACAAUGAUGGGAAUUCAAGAGGGAAUACCAACUUUGGAUCUGACACUAGAGAAGAGGAUCUUGAUUGAUUAUUGCUGCUGGAUGCUUGGUGUUAAAAUGUGGCAUGACAAGCAUGAGCACGACAAUCAAUUGCAUGCUUCUGACUCUGGUUUCUUGGGAGCUCUCAACUGCAAGCAGGAUUAUCAUGUUUGCCUAUGAACAGAACACAUGAAAGGAUGAUACCUGGAAGGGUUGUUGAAUGUAGAAAGAACUUGCGCACAUUCUCUUCUCCUUUUCUUGCUUCAUGCAUGUUCUGUAAAUGCCUGUUUUUAAAUUAUUUUCACAAUUGUUGCUAGCUUCACCUUCUUAGGACUAAUUCAUGCACAAAUUCGCUUGGUUCUGUAAGUUCUUCUUUGUUUGAGCAUCAU
This is an RNA transcript of Populus euphratica (Euphrates poplar), 1523 nucleotides long. It is a transcript of the gene named E3 ubiquitin-protein ligase RING1-like, with no coding region annotated. The transcript is spliced from 3 exons. NCBI's taxonomy places the organism in Eukaryota, Viridiplantae, Streptophyta, Magnoliopsida, Malpighiales, Salicaceae. The record is from RefSeq and is a predicted model, not a curated record.